Molecule: small RNA, 420 nt
Filed under: Arabidopsis thaliana (thale cress)
Lineage: Eukaryota; Viridiplantae; Streptophyta; Magnoliopsida; Brassicales; Brassicaceae
Description: ATSL048380
Source: RNAcentral
UAUUAUUAUUUUACUGUUCAAAUUUUUAAUUAUUAUUUAAAUCAAUCAGAACAAAGUAAAGGUAGAAAUGAGUUUCUCAAAGUUUCUCAGAUGAAAAACGUUUCUGUUCUCUCUCCUCCUUUUUCUCAUUUUUUAUUCUGGUUUAAUAGAAAGUCUCUCCUCUAGAGACUCCCAAUGGAAAUGUUCUUAGCUGCAUUGACUUAAUGAGACUACAGAAUGAGAAACGUAUUUAACAGUUGAAUAUGGUGCAAUGGUUGUUUUAAUAAAUGUUGUAAAGGAUGUGGCAAAUUUAGUGUUGUAAUUUAUCAAUACCGUGAAUUUGGUUGGGUGAGAUUGUCUUUGUCUUGUGUUGUCUUUUCGGUCACUAAAAUUUUUGACUUUUUUUUUCAUCCCAAUAAUUUUUGAACUCAGUUAAGUUAU